CCCGCUGCUCUGCCCUCGUGUGAAACGGGCAUAACUUUGCAACUCAAAUAUCAUGAACUAAGCGUAAUACUUUCUGUUGCCCUGGUACUUUUCACUCUUUUCUCACCACGAUAUUCGUCACUUAUUCCAGAUGUCUUCAAUUACAAAAAAAAAAAUAUGGUAUAGGUCCUCGGUAAAGCAUGGGUCCGGAUGACUCAUGGUUUCAUAAGAGUAUUAUUUAUUCCUUACUGGAUACUAGUUACGAACAAUCAUACAGGUAUCAGUAAAGGUAAAAAUCCUAUUACUUGGAUGCCAGUAUCCCACGAGGAUCAUUUUUUAUUUUUAUGUAACUGGUUACAAAACUCCGGUUACAUACGCGGCCGAAGGGUUUAUUUACAUCAUAAACAAAAACCUCUUUGACAUGCCAAGGUCCCGGGCGCAAGCAAGCUAAUGUAUACCUAACUUGUAAGUGUCAAGUUUAUUUUGACAGUGUCUUAUGACAGACGUUUUUAGUUGUCCCUGGCGAUGUGGGGCUGUGGGCACGACUACAGUCAGAACAAGACAAGUCUGCAACGAUUUUGAUAGCACACGCAGAGCAAGUGUUAUUUUUCUACGUCAUAAUUUCAUAGAUGUUUGACGUGCCCCUCCCCCGCAAAAAUCAGUAGACUGUAACAGGCUUGUUUUGUACAGAAAAUUCAGGCAAGGCGUCUCCAAUUGUCAAAUCCUCCAAGGUUAAAAUCGACAAUCUAGUCCAAACAUCUUAGAAAGGCGUCAUCAUAGUCUAUGAAUAAAGCACUAAAAAAUAAAAGUGACAUUUGUCAUUUUAUAUCGGGUGUCAUUUAAAAUCAUAAAUUUAUUUACAGAAAAUAAUUCUAAAAGAAAAUCUACCAAACUAAUUUACAAUAAAAACCAUAAAUUCUCAAGAUUUGAUCAGUGUUCCGUCCUAUUGACAAGGUUAGUUGACUUUUAUUCUACUAAGAUUGCAUGCGUUUGCUGCUGUUGACUAUAAGUAUAGCGGACUAGCAGACCUGCGAUAAUUAUCAUUGUAUUUCCAACUGACUUUUAAAAGGAGGAGGCUCUCCAUCCGGCUGAUUUUAUUUAACGAGAUAACGACAAACCCAAAAAGAUAGAGUUAUGAUUUUAACAGUUUUUGUGUGCAUGUCUUUGAUGUGUCUAAAGAAUAAAAUACUCUUGAUGAAUUGGAGCUGCUCCUAAAAAACAUUACACCGUCAAUGUUUACUUAUAAGUAUUAUGAUGAUAGCUUUAUAGUCGUUCGUAAGAUAUUAGCAUGCUGGUAUAACCUGUAAAGUACUAAUAGCAGAAUAAGCAACCAAUUGCCACCUACCACGUAAAAACACUAUACUUAUUCUUUACAAAUAAAUACUGUAGUUAGGUAGAUACUUUGUUAAUUAUAUUCCAUAUCUGAUCAUUAGAUUUAUUUGUUGAAAUUUGUUGAAAAAGAGGACCUGUUCUAGUGCUCAUUAAGAUCGUAUAAUGAUCAACGGAACUCCAUAAUAAACCAAUUUACCUAUCCUAGUCAUGUUUGGAACAAUUGAAAUAAGAUGCACAAGUAUAUGUGAGUAAUAAAUGAUUUCAAAGGUAUUUUCACUACUCUUAAGUUAUUAUUAUUAUUAUACUUGUUGUAUUCCGAGGUUAUAAGCAUUAUUUGUUAUAAGUUAACUAUAGUCGAGCACGACGUUCUAAUAUUUAGAAUUAAUGGUUUCGUAGCCAAAAUGGCAAUAAAGAUCCAUCCGUCCGUCCGUCCGCCCGUUCGUCCGUCCGUCCGUCCGUUCGUUCGUCGGCCGUCCGUCCGUCCGUCCGUCCGUUCGUUCGUCGGCCGUCCGUCCGUCCGUCCGUUCCCAGCUGUCCGUCCUUUGUCUGUCCGUCCGUCCGUCCGUCUGUCUGUCUGUUUGUCUAUUUGUAUGUUAGAGCCAUUAGACUAGGAGUGUAUAUAGGUAUAAUAAUGAUAAUGACAUUUAGGAUGUAGGUAGUAAAAACGUAUAAACUACUCUUUUUUACAGAGGCAACCAGGCGUACGGCCCGGCCCGUCCGAUAGUUUAGUUUAGUUUAUUCAUAUCACAUACUUACAGGUUUCAUUUUAUUAAAUUAGCUUAACCGUUAUAAAACGAUUGUUUAGAUACUUAUGCAAAGUAAGAUCCAGAAGAAGAAAAUGAAAAAUGAAUUACUAGUUUUGAAUUUUGACAAAGUAUUUAUAUAAGCACCAGGUUUUAGUAAUGUUACAGCAAGUCGGCAAUCUACGACGGUCGCUUAGCUUACGAGUAGUUGCUGGUGAUUCUGCCCACAAAACUGCAAAUCCCGGGUUCGAUUCCCGAUAAGGGCAUUUAUUAGCAUGAUGAACACGGAUAUCUUUAUUUGUUUAUGUAAGCCCACACAAGCUUUUAUUUAACUUGCUCUGUUAGUAUGUAAGUUUGUUAGUUAGGGUGGGUCAAAUCUUGGAAACUAAAAUUGACCCACUUCCCGAUUCCCGAUUAAGCUGAAGAUUUGCAUACAUAAUAACAUAUAAGUCGAGUGACAAUGCAAUAUUAUGGUACCAUCGAGCUGAUCUGAUGACGGAUACAGGAGGUGGCCAUAGAAACUCUGUGAUGAAACAACGGAACUAUAUUGUGUUUGGGGUUUUUAGAAUUAUCUCGAUGAGUAUUUAGUUACCUAUGGUAAGAAAAGUACAGUCAGCGACAAAGGUUUGUACCCAAAAAAGAUAAAAACUUUUUUUUUGGCAUAAACUUACCUAUUUAUAAAACAGUUUCGUUACUUCUAUACUGACAGACAACACAUACAGCUUAAUAAAUCGUUGAAGUUAAAACUAUGAAAUUUAAAACAUUACAUAUAUAGUACAAAUGGUGUAGAGGUGCCCUAAGGUAGGAUUUUCUGAAAUUUAACCCUUAAGGGGUAAGAAGGGGCUUAAAGUUAUUUAAGUUAUCUUUAAUUAUGUGAGUGUGUUUUUCAGUUAAAAUAUAAGUGAUUGUGACUGAUAAUGUUUUUUAUUUUCAUAACUGCAAAUCUGCUUUCAACUGGCCUGGAUAUACAAGGAGACAAAUCAUGAAUGGACCAGAGCAACCAUGUUGAGCUACCUUCUUAUAAUAAUUAAGAAGUGGAGGGCGAUCCUUAUUUUAACAGUCGGAAACUUAUGCCUGACGAAACCGAGACGUUAUAUAAAAUGCAUUUAUGAUUGUUUCAGAGCCGGGGAAGGACAUCAGGAUAGUUUCUAUGAUUCAUCAUCAUUCUACGUCUACGCGUACGAAGUCGAGGGCAGAAACUAGUACUUAAAUAAAUGCAAUAUAAAUAAUAUUACUUAAUUAAGAGGGUAACAUAAAUAAUAACUAGACUUCGAUAGGUACCUAAAACAGUUUUAUAUUAAAUCAGGUUUCGUUGGAGGAAGAGUCCGAAUUUUGAGCAACGAUGCUAUGCGAGAAGUCGCGCAAAACAACGCGAGUUGCGUAUCCUGUACUGGAGGCCAAGACCCACGGUGCUGCUGAUUUACAAAUGAAAAUUUGUGUAAUGAUAUGCAAACGAAACCAGAGGAAUUAAGUGUUCAGCGGAACUGCUCCUGAAAAAAAGAUUGCUGUCAUAAGAGAUGCGGGUAUCUACUUUCAAUAUGUGUGACCAGCCUAUAAGAUCGAACCUGAAGCAAACAAGACAAUUUACCCUUAAAUGUAUUAGUAUAAGUUUGCCUAUUUAUUAUUAAUUCUCCAUAUUGCCUAAUAAAACAACUAUAUUGUGCAUUAGAAGACAGUAUCAUCCGGACAUGGUAUAUCAGAAUGUUACGUUCUGUGGAUAUACUCUGUUCUAAUGCACAGACAUUUUUAUUGUGUGAUUAAUUCAUGGGAUCCAUAAAUUGAGACUAUGACGAUUGCCCAUGGUAUGUGUUUAGUAGUAGUAGUAAGAAAAGCAUUCCUUUUUACCAAUUUGAGAAAGGCCCUUUUUUCUUGUAUCGUCCUCAUAUAUAUUAUGUCAACCUUAAACUUGUAUGUAGUAUUAAAGUCACUUCUAGGGUACUUUUGAAGGUUUAAUUCUACUUACUUACAUAUAUGACAUGACAAUAAGGUUAGUGGAAGAAAUAAGAUGUAGACGAGUGCAUGCUAUAAUAGCGUAAAUUAAGUAUCUAUAAGUAUUACUCCUUCAGUAUUAGACCUAUAUAGAUGAGCCUUUCAGCUUUUUUUGGACAACAUUUGUAACACUUGAUGAGGUUAUUGUAAAAAAAAAUUUCCUUUGCUACUAUCUACUCAGGUUGCAUUUUUUUGUGAUCCAAGCUUGCCUUUUGGAGUGAAAUAUAAUGGCGAAAAGAUGAAUGUAAAUAUUGUUGUCCAUUGAUAACGUUCUCUGCAGAUUUUGACGGCGAAAUUAAUAACACUGUCAAUAACUAUAUACUUAUAUUAUUAUUCAUAUUUUAAAGGGACUCUUAUUAUAAAAGUAUGAUACAAAUUUCGGAUCGGCAAUCCAGAGGUGUGGGUUCGAGUCCCACGAUGGCCACAGUUCAUCAUCACAGUUAAUUUAUUACAUUGUGAUUGACAUCUGUAUAUACAAUUCAUAAAGUAUACCAUUUUAAUAUUUGCUGCCCACCUUAUUAAAUUUUAGAGAAGAAGAAACAAUAUACGAGAAGUUCUGUACUAAGUGCAUAAAUACCAACAUAAUGACAAUAUUGUGUAAUAAUUCUGUCUAUUUUUGUUAAGUACCUACGUUAUAAUGUAUAGUUUUUAUUUUAUUUAUUGAUUAAUUAGUCACCUUAGGAUGUCGUUAUAGGUACUUGCUAAGCUAUAGGUUUAGCUUGUAAGACUCCAGUAACAUCAUUAUUAAGAUGUAACUCGUUUGUAACUACAGGAUCUACAAUAGCGUCUUAUAAGGGUGAAGUAUUAUUUUCUUUUCCGAUAUAAGGAGCUCUAAAAGACUUUUUUACGCCUGUUUAGACCCAGAAAACGCAAAUAGCAGCUGCUUAUUGCGUGUAUGGAUGUUAAGGUUGUACGAUUCACUUUAAGCUGUAACACUAACUUCUUACAAGUAGCAUGCAUUAUAGCGACCAAUACAGCUACCUGUGGCUCGGUGAACCUCUUAAACACUUUUAUGUCAACUGUACCUGUAGGCUAAGACUACGAGUAUGUAGCUAUUCUAGAGCUGUUUUAUGUCUAUAUUAGGUUCGGCUUUUCGUCCGUCUGUCUCUCUCUCUCUCUCUCUCUCUCUCUCUCUCUAUCUCUAUCUCUCUCUCAGUUACCACUUCACGCUUAAACCGCUUUAGAUAAAAUUUGUUCUGGAGGUAGUUUGAGGCCCGAGGAAUAUAAUAGGAUAGUUUUUAUCAAUCAUCAUCAUCAUCCCACGCAGACGAAGUCGCAGGUAGAAGAUGGUUAACUAUAAUAAUGGAUUGGAUAACAAUGCGUACGGUUACAGAUAACUUCUUGAUACGUUUUUGGUGACCGUAAAAAAUAAUAGCAGCAUGCAGAGGCCUUGGAAAUUGCACUUAAAAUGUAAUACUUAUAUAAGCUGUAUAUAAUGUAAAUGGCCUGUGGUACGAGUAUAUCGAUCACUUAUAGACAGGAAGGAAACUUAUCGUUAGGUAAUGUGAUGCAGUCGGCGAGACAAUACAAAGUCGUAUAGAUAAUAAUAUAAUAUAUUAAUGUAAAAGGCUGAAAGAGAAUAGGUAAACUGAUUAUGUAAUUGAUGAUUCGACCAAGAAGAAAAUGAAUGACUGAGAUGUCUAGUAACCGAAGUCUGAAAGCGAUACUAAGGGCCAGUCGCACCAACCGCAAUUAGCGGACUGAUUAACGUCACUCACCGGUGACAUGAAAUUUCCUAAAAAAUAAAUUUAAGUAGUGAAAGCUUUAACUGUGACAAAUGGUCUGUGUACGUGAGAUAUGCAAACGGAUGACAAACUGCUAUAAUAGUACGGGCACGUCUGAAAAUAUCGAUACAAAAAAAGUGCCAAAAAUAUGUGUACACGACUUUAUUGCCCAUAUAUUAAGGUGGUGUAUAUUUCAGACGUACGUUACUGUACGUCCUAUUAUUAGAGUGGAACCAAGGGCAAGAUUUUUAAACUUUUUUUUUAUUUAGUUUACAUAGUAGCGUUACAAAAUCGUUUAUAUAAGGUAUAAUUAUGGUAAAAGGGAAUGCACUAUUAUAUUUCUAAAGUCGUCGUUACUAGUCGUGCCCACAGCGUCGUGGCGCUGUGAGCACGCCGAGCGACGACGCCUUUAGGUGUUAUUGGCGUUCAAAGGGUUAAAAAAAUCAGUAUGAAGUGCCUACCGCGAAAAUCAAAAUUUUGCUAUCCGUCUAUCACUCUUGCAUAAACGAGCGAUACAAUGGCGGAUAGAGAAAUUUCGAUUUUCGCGGUAGACCUCGAUGGUCUACCGUGAAAAUCGUUUUUGGUGACCAUAAACAACGCAUUAAUCAACAAAGCCGUAAUAUUAACCCCCUUAGUACAUUAACCUUACGUCUAUGGACGGUAGAGAACUCCAUACUUACGUCCGAAGUACGUAUCGGGUCUACGUUGGUCAAUUUAGAUAUACUAAUAGUCGCGUGUCACCAUGAGGUAUACGGCCGUUUCCGAUUAGCGUUUUAUACAAGCGUACGUGUACGCGCGCGUAAGCUGGUAUAGACUAAAUGUAGGUAAAAGUAACGCGCGCGUAUGCCCGUAAAAAGCAAAUGCAGGGAAAUGUAACGCGCGUAUAAGCUCGUAUCGCUGUAAGGGCCGUAUACGCUAGGCUGAAACCGCUCAUAACGAAGCGGCCGAAGUGCACAAAAAAAUCGAAACAUGCACUCUAACGCCUUGACAAUAGAGGCAUGUUCAGAUAUUUGUGAGUAUCUUGGCCGCUCCAAUAUAUAUAAUGGCGACUACAUAUUACCAAAGAGCAAAUUUUGUAGCCACAGUAAAGUUACUGCCAUCUUUCGACAUAUGAUUAAAACUUUUGGAACGCACGAAUAAAAAGUGGCAACAUCAUACCAAGCAUCGGCUAAAGGUUGUGGCGCCAUCGCUCGAAACGAUACCGCCAUGCAUUUGGCUUUUGAUCUAUUAGAUUUAUUCAUUAACAAAUUUAACAUAUAUCAGUGAAAGAAUAAUGAUCAAAGUCAAAUGGCGUUCUAAAAGUUUUAAUCAUGUGUCGGAAAAUGGCAGUAAUUUAUCGUGGUUACAAAGUUUUUUUUUUACAAUCCACCUCUAUUUCAAAUUCUCUUUGAUACCCAUACAUUAACCCUUUGAAUGCUUUAUGUCAUAAACACAACAUCAGUCAAACACCAAAAUCCCGGGCGCAAGGGGGCCAAUGUAAACCUUAGGUAUUCGAAAGUGUGAAGGUUACUUUGACAGCGUCUGCCAGAACACCUAUAGGUGUCCUUGGCCCUGUGGGUACGACAAGUAACGACGAUUGUAGGUAUUUUUGGCGUUUAGAAUGUUAAUCUGUACUGCAUAUCUGGUUUUCGCUCAUCCUAACCUAUCACCCAUCCUGCGUCCAUAUAGACGGUAGAGAAAGGACGAAAAUCUCUUAGGCUACGUACGCACUAAGCGGCUAGCCGCGUGCGGACAGCCGCAUGACGGUUAAGAAUGUAUGAAACCGCAACCAUAAAUACUGAACGCACUAAGCGGUCCGCCGCAACCGCACGCGGCUGGCCGCAUAGUGCGUAUGGGGCCUUAUGACAGAACUAUUGCAAAAGUAACCAGCUUUCAGCUUUAACCUUUUGAAGGCCAAGAGCCACUAAAGUGGUCGUGUGCUGUCGUGCCUACCACGCCAACGACCACUAAAGAUGUCAUGGCAGACGCUGUCAAAGCAAUUUUACUGUUGACAGAUAAGGUUUAAAUUCGUUUCUCAAUAGUUGACAUAUUGGCGUGUAUGCCACAUUUUGAUGAGAGGGAGAAAGCGUUGAAAAGGUUAAAUAAUAGUUCCUAAUCUCUCCGGUGGCGCUAGGUAGGCUCAUGGAUAUUACAUGAAUCAUAUACGUAUAAUAAUAUAGAGAUGAAAUGGGGAGGAGCAGCAAAUAACCUGACCAAAUUACGACGAGCCUACCUAGCGCCACUGGAGAGAUUAUUAGGAACUAUAAUUUAACCUUUUGUACCUAACCCUUACUUGAAAAAAAGUUUACUUUGACAGCGUAUGUCAUGACACCUAUAGUUGCCUUGGUGCUGUGGACUAGAUAACGACGCUUUUAUUUUAUUUUCUUGGCGUUCAAAGGGUUAAAGCUGAAAGCUGGUCACUUUUGCAAUAGUUCUGCCAUAAGAGAUUGUCGUCCUUUCUGUACCGUCCAUACUUUAGAUUGACCUAUGUUAGCCCAAUUUGACAUUGCAAAUGUCAAGCAGAAUUAGCUUUAUCCGACACGACAGUGUGUACACCAACCAUACAAAUGGCGACAGCACACGAAAACUGAUUGCAUUCACACUGCGACAGAGUUAAGCGCCACCAUAGCGUUAUAUUCCUAUAAAAAUGUGGUGUUUACCUAGUGGCGCUGGCACACUUUGGAGGGGAAGGACAUUAUUGUAAUAUUUAUAACACAAACGUUAUGAUUUUUUUCUAAUGUCAAGCAAAUGUUAGUCAAAUUUAUAUACGUUAAAUAAAGUAUCUGAAUGAUA
Long non-coding RNA from Cydia pomonella (codling moth), 8539 nucleotides. RefSeq lists it as uncharacterized. The transcript is spliced from 4 exons. Lineage: Eukaryota; Metazoa; Arthropoda; Insecta; Lepidoptera; Tortricidae. The record is from RefSeq and is a predicted model, not a curated record.